AUUUGAAACUCACAGCCCCGCUGCCGCUCGGCUCCCCGGGCAAAGCCUGACAUCUACAGUCGUGCCGGGCGCAGGCCGGGUUGCUCGGCGGCGACCGCGCCCGCCCGCCCGCAGGGACCCGGGGACGCACAGGGACGCGCGGGACCCGGGCGCUCAGCUGCGCUCGCUCCGCUUGGGGCGCGGGCCUUGGGGCAGGCCGGGGGUCCCGCGCACCCGCCUGGGGCCAGGAACCCUCGCCGCUCGGCCUGCGCCGCCCCGGGAACCGGCCCCGGCGGGAACAAAGCCCAGGCCCUCCCGGAGGCGCUGACCCCUCGCUCAUCAAAGGUCAGGGGCCGGCCUAGAAUCGGGCGAGAAGAAAGGGACGCGCCCUCGGCCACUAAAAGGAGCCUGAGGCCUCCGAACCGGAGCCAUCGCUCCCUGGGCCCCGUCCACGUCACAGCCAGGCCACUCAAGCAUGGGGACAGGAGCCAAUGUGGACAGGAAUUUAUUGGAAACACACACCCAUCCUAUUAACUGCUUUACAGAGCACUUCUGUUUUUCAGUUGCAGAAACUUAUAAAAACAUCCCCCUGCUCUCCGUUGAGAGUUUAAGGAUAGUUUUUGAGGCCAGAGAAAGAGAAAAGGAGAGAUCACUAGAAAGAUAGGAAGAAAAGAAGUGGGAAGAAAAGGAGAUGCAGUCUACCAUGUAAGCCUCCAGGCUCCUUAGCCUCACCUUAUAAAGCCACAUCACCGCAGAGAUAGCAAAGAUCGUGCCCUUUCCCAGGGAGUUCCUACCGCCAGGGUAAGAUUUAAAGCGGCCACCCCAGUUGGUCAAAGUGAUUGCUGGGCGCCUUUCUAUCUCCCCAAGUUCACCUUUUCCAGUUGGUCAAAGCGAUUGCUGGGCGCCUUCUAUCUCCCCAAGUCCACCUUUUUCCAUUCUCAUCUGAAAGCCAGCCCCAAAGAAAUCUCACCGGAAGUCCUCUGUCCUCCCUGUCAGAAUCCCACCCUCAGUCUGAAUUUACUCCCGAUUCUCACAGCACAGAAAGGCACCUGCUUUUACCCUUUCUGAAAACCACCCACCCAGGCUGGCCUUACAGCCUGGAGAGUCUUUUCCUCGGGCACAAUAAUGAACCAUGCAAGUGUUAGAAAUAUAAUCAGCUCAUGAGGCGAAGAGCAGUAUGUAUGGAAUUGUAUUAGCAUGAGGCACACACUGACUCGGGAGAAAAAGGGAUGCUUAGCUGGUGAAAACCAUCACAUCCCCGUAUAGAAGGCUUUUUGCACAAUGUAAGUUGGGUUCAGAUUAAUGUAAGUAUCUAACCUGUUGGGUACAGACAGCCCCUUUCUACAUUUUAGUCCAGAAUAGAUUCUGGGGAAAUUUAUUUAUUUAUUUAUUUAUUUCAGCUAAGGCCCUGGGAGAAAAGACUGCCUCCAGGGAAUCAUGUCCGAUUAGGGACAAAGGAGGGCACAAGCCCAAUUCAGUCACACGUGAGAGCACGGGGGCCGGGUGGGGGGAGUUAAGAGCCAACAGGGAAGGUGGAGGAUGAGUUUGCAAACCAGACUAUGGUCACUGCAGAGCUGCUUCCAGACCACCUGACUUCAGGCCCAAGAACAGGUGGUGUUUUCAAAACACACUGUUAUUUAUAUUGGCCAUAUAAGUUGAGAACACCUUAAAGAAAACAAUUAAUAAUUUAAUUGAAAAAGUGACUAUGAAUAAGACAUGAAGAUGACGUAUGCUAGCAGGACCGCAAGCAACGUGGCCCACAACGCAGAGAUGCCUCUGGCAAUCUCUCCGGAAAAACGAAGAUUCCUUACCUGGGAUAGGGGACAACCUCGUAAUCUGGUGACAUCAUGAUCCUGCUACACACAUGAUGAGGCCUAGUCAAGCCUGCCUUUGUUCCAGGCAAAAAUUUAACAGCUCUGGAAGCCCUGGCUCUUCGGAGGGCAGCUGCCUGAUGUUAAACCCAUGGCCUACCCAGCAGUGACAGCCUGACAUUCUCAUCGCUCCAUCCUGAACACUGCUGACAAAUAAACCCACUCUCAGAAAAGGCAAUUCUUCCCUCGCAGUUCUCCAUACCCAGUCUCGUCUCAUCUGGAAAGCGUAAUUGGCAACAGCCGAAAGGAUAAAUAUUUAAAAAUAAAUCAGGGAGCGCUAACCCCUUCCCUACUCCUCCCCUUACCCACUCUCCAAGCCAGAGGCCUGCCCCCUAACGCUGAGCUGGCUGGUAAAUUACAAUGAUUCUACCGAGCCAAACCUGCUUGUCUCUCUCUUUCUCUACACAUACACACUUACUAAUGCUGUAUCCUUCCACUUUUGCAAAGGUAAAUAUGAUCUCUAAGAUACAGUGGAUGUCAGCAUUCUGACUUCCAGCGUAACCUGGGCUCUCUUUUCACAGUACAGCGGGUUUAGACAGAUUUGUGCACCCUUCCGGGUUCUUCUAUUUUUAUUAAAUUAUACGUAUACAUUGAUUUUUAAAACUAGUGCUUAAAUAACCCGGAGGCUUUAACAAAGAAAAAUCCAGAAGAGGGCAAGAAACAAAAACAAACGUUCCUGAAAUAAACAAGGAACCAUU
Molecule: long non-coding RNA, 2548 nt
Filed under: Homo sapiens (human)
Lineage: Eukaryota; Metazoa; Chordata; Mammalia; Primates; Hominidae
Description: non-protein coding lnc-DHX38-29:2
Source: RNAcentral